CCUACGGGAGGCAGCAGUGGGGAAUAUUGGACAAUGGGGGAAACCCUUAUCCAGCGACGCCGCGUGAGUGAAGAAGGUUUUCGGAUUGUAAACCUCUGUCAGUGGGGACGAUAAUGACGGUACCAACGGAGGAAGCCACGGCUAACUACGUGCCAGCAGCCGCGGUAAUACGUAGGUGGCAAGCGUUGUCCGGAAUUACUGGGGGUAAAGGGAGUGUAGGCGGGUUGGCAAGUAAGAAGUGAAAAUUAUGGGCUUAACUUAGAACCUGCUAUUGAAACUGAUAUUCUUGAGUGAAGUAGAGGCUAGCGGAAUUCCUAGUGUAGCGGUGAAAUGCGUAGAUAUUAGGAGGAACACCAGUGGCGAAGGCGGCUUUCUGGGCUUUUACUGACGCUGAGGCUCGAAAGCGUGGGGAGCAAACAGGAUUAGAUACCCCAGUAGUC
Molecule: ribosomal RNA, 440 nt
Filed under: uncultured bacterium
Lineage: Bacteria
Description: partial 16S ribosomal RNA
Rfam family: Bacterial small subunit ribosomal RNA
Source: RNAcentral